RNAcentral lists this long non-coding RNA (1781 nucleotides) under Gallus gallus (chicken). RNAcentral's name for it is "lncRNA (ENSGALG00010002863.1)". The record is from RNAcentral. Lineage: Eukaryota; Metazoa; Chordata; Aves; Galliformes; Phasianidae.
UGUUCCCUGGCCAGCCUGUUGGCCACAGAAAAUCAUCUGAUAUGUAAUAAGUAUUUUGCAUUGAGCUGGAUUUACUGCAUCACUGUUGUUUCUAUGAAUGGCUUUGAUGCCAGGGUCAAGUGGAUUUGAUCACUGAUUGUGACUGCUUACACUUUUAACACCAGGAAUUUGGCUCAGGCUGACGUAAAUUAUUGGUGUGUGCCAAAAAUGCAUGACUUUUCAUGAUGACAUUUUACAAAAUUACCUUCAUCCUACAAACUGGUAUUUCUUUGCAAUUUAUCAGACGUGGGACAUUCAACAGGAGCGCGACGCUGGGCUUCACCGUGCAAUAACAUAACUGGAAUUUAAUCUCUGCAAAUGGGAUUUCUUUUAAAACUAAAACCUGGUUUUGAAGGACAAAAAAAGUGAAAAAUGAACAAAACUUUUAAUGUCAGUUUCAGAAAUAAGGCCAAAGAGGUCUCUGAUUCAUAUUCAUGGAAGUAGAGUCAACAUGUGAUGCUAAUUUUAUGGGGUUUCCAAAAAAAGAAUGCCCUUUCCAUAUAUAAUUUACUGUUUCUGUGAUUCAUCAAAGCUUUUUGUCCUCCAGCACAUGAGUGGUCACCUCUGAUUUAUGCACCAGAGGACUCAGUAGGUCCAAACCAGAGUGGAGCAGAGCAGCUUUGCUCCGAGUCGCACCUACCAACUCCUUGCGAGCUGUGUUGGAUGGUAUUCUUGCUUUGUCAGAACGAACAUCCCUCCUUCCAGCAGUUGGCCAAGCCAUUGAGUUCCCUCCCCAUAAGCUCUCUGUGGGGACCAGUAGGAGCACCUGGGGAUGUGUGCAUUCUCGUUCAUCUUGGUGGGAUGCUCCCUGUGAAAUCACAGCCUUGCUGGCAUCCACACGGCCGUGUUUAACUGCUUCACUGCUCACUGGCACGCCGCAUCCAUUCGGGGGGAAAAAGCCGUAAUAUGAUUGAAUAUAUCUGGCAGGACCUGAUAUUCCCACUCAUUUUGACUCCAAUCCAGCAGCAGCAAAGGCAAUUAAAUAACAAGUUUUCUCCGGCAAAAUGAGUUGCAAAAUGCCCCCAGCUGCAUGCUGCAGGAAAUACACCACCUCAGCUUUGCUGAUUGCCAGCACGCCUGCACCUGCCCCUGGCUGAGGAGGUCCCAUGCAGCAAGGCUGCUCCCCAGUUGGGCUGUGUGAGGUGGCACAAGCAGCAGGUGUGCAUUGCUGGCAGCACGUGGCCAUCACUGCCUCACUGCAGCAUGGCACACUCCCAGUGCUUCACAGUCUGCCACAUCAGAGCCCGGGCUCAGCCCCUCAUUGCGAAUGCAGACCUGGAUCCUGUAAAUGAGUUGGUUAAAUGAGAUGGCCAAAUGUUGCUUGAAAACAAAAUUCCAGGAGAUCAGCCUGUGUGAAAAUGGACCCUGAGACAUAACUGCUGACCCCAAAAUGCCACAGGCAUAACCCUAACCCUAACCACGCAGCCACCAAAGGGCAACACCACAUUAAAGAUGGAGCUAAGAGCAAAGGAAGCAGUGUUGGAUGAGAUGCUGUAGGCUGCACUAUGUGCAUGUGUACACCGGGAAGAAGGAUGCUGAUGGGUGGCUUUUCCAUCACCUGGUAUUGGUAAGUAUUACUGACAGAAGGAUCCAGAAAGUCUCAGGAAAAGGUUUUGUCUGAAAUCGCUGUCCUGCAUUGCUUUUUCCUACAGCAGCUUUGGGAGAGCCCAGGCUCCUCCCCAGGGGCUGCACCCAUCACUUUUUUUUUGAAUAUGCAUGUCUUCUGGCUGUUCAGUCUGCUG